AUUGAACGCUGGCGGCAUGCUUUACACAUGCAAGUCGAACGGCAGCGCGGGCUUCGGCCUGGCGGCGAGUGGCGAACGGGUGAGUAAUGCAUCGGAACGUGCCCAGUAGUGGGGGAUAGCCCGGCGAAAGCCGGAUUAAUACCGCAAACGACCUGAGGGGGAAAGCGGGGGACCGAAAGGCCUCGCGCUAUGGGAGCGGCCGAUGUCGGAUUAGCUAGUUGGUGGGGUAAAGGCUUACCAAGGCGACGAUCCGUAGCUGGUCUGAGAGGACGACCAGCCACACUGGGACUGAGACACGGCCCAGACUCCUACGGGAGGCAGCAGUGGGGAAUUUUGGACAAUGGGGGCAACCCUGAUCCAGCCAUGCCGCGUGCGGGAAGAAGGCCUUCGGGUUGUAAACCGCUUUUGUUCGGGAAGAAAUCCUCUGGGCUAAUACCCCGGGGGGAUGACGGUACCGGAAGAAUAAGCACCGGCUAACUACGUG
This 484-nucleotide ribosomal RNA is filed under the name uncultured bacterium. RNAcentral describes it as "partial 16S ribosomal RNA". It matches the Rfam family "Bacterial small subunit ribosomal RNA", at positions 29 to 507 of the family's 1533-position model. The record is from RNAcentral.